CCGUGCUAGACGGGGAGCUAGCGGUGCCCUGUACCCGUAAUCCGCUAUAGCGGGGUUGAAUGCCGCUCGAGCUUUUAUCUCUAGAGGUUUACUCCUGUCCUGUGGUGUUGAAGGUUGGGUCCUGCGCGGCAGAACCCUAUGAACUCCGCCAGGUCCGGAAGGAAGCAACGGUAAAUAGGUAGUUCUGGGUGCCGCAGGAGCGCCUGGCUGGAGCCGUCGGGGCUUGAGGACCCUCUAGGGCAGGAGCGACAGCGGAUGCACGG
Molecule: signal recognition particle RNA, 263 nt
Filed under: Dehalococcoidia bacterium
Lineage: Bacteria; Bacillati; Chloroflexota; Dehalococcoidia
Description: signal recognition particle sRNA large type
Rfam family: Bacterial large signal recognition particle RNA
About the family: The signal recognition particle (SRP) is a universally conserved ribonucleoprotein involved in the co-translational targeting of proteins to membranes. Archaeal SRP consists of a 7S RNA and homologues of the eukaryotic SRP19 and SRP54 proteins.
Source: RNAcentral